RNAcentral lists this unclassified non-coding RNA (212 nucleotides) under Hevea brasiliensis (rubber tree). Lineage: Eukaryota; Viridiplantae; Streptophyta; Magnoliopsida; Malpighiales; Euphorbiaceae. The record is from RNAcentral.
UGAUACUCCAUGGUUUAUCACCUGAAAAACUCCGAACUCGUGAGUACUGUCGAGGAUUUUUUGGAAGAGAACGGACCGAUUGUGUGCGGCAAAAUCGAGUACUGGCAUCGUCGUCUUCACUGCAACGCCCGGCCUCUCUUCCGGCGGACAAACAUAACUUUCCGGUACUGAUUCAACACCCUCCCAGUUGGAUACAAAAUUAUUCAUUUCAG